RNAcentral lists this ribosomal RNA (800 nucleotides) under uncultured bacterium. RNAcentral's name for it is "bacterial SSU rRNA". It matches the Rfam family "Bacterial small subunit ribosomal RNA", at positions 8 to 818 of the family's 1533-position model. The record is from RNAcentral.
AGAGUUUGAUCCUGGCUCAGGAUGAACGCUAGCGGCAGGCCUAAUACAUGCAAGUCGAACGGUGUCUUCGGACAUAGUGGCGCACGGGUGCGUAACACGUAUGCAACCUACCUUACAUUGGGGGAUAGCCUUUCGAAAGGGAGAUUAAUACCGCAUAAGACAGUAACUUGGCAUCAAGUAGCUGUUAAAGAUUUAUCGAUGUAAGCUGGGCAUGCGUCCAAUUAGCUAGUUGGUGAGGUAAUGGCUCACCAAGGCUAUGAUUGGUAGGGGAACUGAGAGGUCAAUCCCCCACACUGGCACUGAGAUACGGGCCAGACUCCUACGGGAGGCAGCAGUAGGGAAUAUUGGGCAAUGGACGCAAGUCUGACCCAGCCAUGCCGCGUGCAGGAUGAAGGCGUUAUGCGUUGUAAACUGCUUUUAUACAGGAAGAAACGACUCUUGCGAGAGGCAUUGACGGUACUGUAUGAAUAAGCACCGGCUAACUCCGUGCCAGCAGCCGCGGUAAUACGGAGGGUGCAAGCGUUGUCCGGAUUUAUUGGGUUUAAAGGGUGCGCAGGUGGUUUAUUAAGUCAGUGGUGAAAGACGGUCGCUCAACGAUUGCAGUGCCAUUGAAACUGGUAGACUUGAGUAAAGUAGAGGUGGGCGGAAUUGAUAGUGUAGCGGUGAAAUGCAUAGAUAUUAUCAAGAACUCCAAUUGCGUAGGCAGCUCACUUGGCUUUUACUGACACUCAUGCACGAAAGUGUGGGUAUCAAACAGGAUUAGAUACCCUGGUAGUCCACACUGUAAACGAUGAUAACUA